GCCUACAGCCAUGCCACCCUGAACGUGCCCGAUCCCAUCUGAUCUUGGGAGCUAAGCAGGGUUGGGCUUGGUUGGUACGUGGAUGGGAAAUGGCCUGGGAAUGCUGGGUGCUGUAGGCG
Ribosomal RNA from Pteropus vampyrus (large flying fox), 119 nucleotides. The record is from Ensembl. NCBI's taxonomy places the organism in Eukaryota, Metazoa, Chordata, Mammalia, Chiroptera, Pteropodidae.